This 265-nucleotide ribosomal RNA is filed under the name uncultured Eubacteriales bacterium. Its description in RNAcentral is "uncultured Clostridiales bacterium partial 16S ribosomal RNA". It matches the Rfam family "Bacterial small subunit ribosomal RNA", at positions 68 to 339 of the family's 1533-position model. Lineage: Bacteria; Bacillati; Bacillota; Clostridia; Eubacteriales. The record is from RNAcentral.
UGGAAUUUGGUAAUUCUAGCGGCGGACGGGUGAGUAACGCGUGAGCAACCUGCCUUUCACAGGGGGAUAACGCAUCGAAAGGUGCACUAAUACCGCAUGAGACCACGCUCCCGACAUGAGAGAGGGGUCAAAGGAGCAAUCCGGUGAGAGAUGGGCUCGCGUCUGAUUAGCUGGUUGGUGAGGUAACGGCCCACCAAGGCGACGAUCAGUAGCCGACCUGAGAGGGUGAUCGGCCACAUUGGAACUGAGAGACGGUCCAAACUCC